RNAcentral lists this RNase P RNA (321 nucleotides) under Desulfurococcales archaeon. RNAcentral describes it as "RNase P RNA component". It matches the Rfam family "Archaeal RNase P". From Rfam's summary of the family: Ribonuclease P (RNase P) is a ubiquitous endoribonuclease, found in archaea, bacteria and eukarya as well as chloroplasts and mitochondria. Lineage: Archaea; Thermoproteati; Thermoproteota; Thermoprotei; Desulfurococcales. The record is from RNAcentral.
CUGCCCCGGCUGGCGGCUACGGCCCGCGAGGGCCGAGGAAACUCCACCCUCCCCGCGGCGCCCGGGCCCCGCAAGGGGCGCGGGUGAGACCCGCGGCAACGGCACAGAAACGACACGGCCCCCGCGAGGAUGGCAAUGACCCCGCGAGGCCCUUCGGGCAACCGGGGGGCAGUAACCGGGGGAGGACUCCGGGGGAUGCGGUGAAACGGCCGCCCCCGGGGGAGCAAGGGCUGGAGGGGAUGAGGGCCGCGCGAGCCCUCCGGCAUGGUCCGCUGAGUCGGAUGCCGCCGUAGUACAGAAGGUGGGUUAUAGCCGGGGCAG